RNAcentral lists this long non-coding RNA (287 nucleotides) under Sorghum bicolor (sorghum). RNAcentral describes it as "long non-coding RNA (SBIC_LNC006293)". Lineage: Eukaryota; Viridiplantae; Streptophyta; Magnoliopsida; Poales; Poaceae. The record is from RNAcentral.
AAGCAAAUUAAGAAGACAGAACAUACAACUAAUAUUAUUUUAUUUAUGUGAAUCAUCAUAGAUGUGCGCAAGGUAUCCUCAAUAACCGAAACAAAGAUGAGUACAGAAAUAUAUGGUACCAGUAAAAGAUUAUUCACAUGAUCAUCCAAGCAAAACAUGUAGGAUAAUAGCAAAAUGCUACCCAGGAACAUCAUGACAUUAACAGUGAAAUUAAUAAUAGGAUGAAGGAGAUUAUACCCUGCGGCAGAACCGCUCGCACCGGGAAAAGUCAUGGUGGUGCUUUGUCG